CGCCGCCGUCACCGCGCUCCGCUGAAUCCGCGUUUCCGGGAUUUCUCUGUAGGUGAGGCGGGAGGCUGGAGGGAGCUGAGCCCCCGGGGAGGGGGCCCGAUUCCGCCUCGCCGCGCCUCUGGCUGCUGGGCCGUGGGUUUUUCUCUUCUCCUGGGAGUAAGGAGGACGACGGCCCCUAACCCCUGAAUUAGCCUUCUAUUUCCAUUAGUGACUUAGAAGCUACCCGGCGCCUCAUCUGGGCUCACCUGAGCUGAGGAUCAGGAAGGGGAGGGGGCACAGUCAUUCCCUCGCGGACGCGGCGGGACCCCAGCGGACGGCUUUGUGCGGACUUUCGGCACCGUUAUGCCCCCCUAGCCCGACACCACCUGGGGCUGGCGCGCCACGUUACUGUUCAGGGCCAGACGCACCGCCCUGCCUGCUCCGGGGAGCCGGACCUCCGAUCCCGGGGAUGGGGGACCCCGAGACCUCAGACCCAACGGAGGGGACUCUGAUACCUCAGACCCCACGCGGGGACCCCGAGGCUUCAGACCCCCACAGGGUGACCCCGAGAUCUCAGACCCCCGCAGGAGUACCUCCAGACCUCAAAUCCCCAGUAAGGGAAUGAAAGAGACUUCGGAUCCCUGAGGCAGCAAAUCCCUGUAGGGGCAUCCCAGGACUCAGGUCACCGCGGGGUGAACCCAGACCUCACAUUCAGGCAAUCCCCAGGACGCCGAUCGGCUGGCACUACCCACUGUCCCGGCCACCCCCCCUGGAGCUCAAAGGCUUGGCCCUCCAGCUGCUCCACCCUGCCGGCAACCAGGCUCAAACCUGCAGCCCGCGGAUCCCCUGCCCCGGAAGCAACCAGAUUCGCGGGAGGUUACCUGACUGAUCCAAGGUGAUACAGCUGGUAACUGAUGGAGAUGUUGGUAGUGAAAUUCAUGUACUUUUAGUUCUUUCUAUGGAAUCUAGAGGUAGAAUACAUGUAAAAGAAUAUCGACUACCGUCUACUCAGGUCUCUGUUUUAUCUGUUUAUUCAUUCACUCUCAGCUUUUAAUAGGAUCCAAUGAGCCCUCUGUGGUUCUGAAGAAUUGCCUUGAGUAUAUGCAGCCUCAAAAAACCCACUUCCUAGGCUCAGUCUUUGAUCAAUAUUUAUCAUUAUCACCAGUUAUUGUUCUAAUAAACUCUACUCUGGAAAUAUGGUGUUAUGGUUUACUUGGGAGUGUGAGUUCAGGGCAUCAUUGAAGACUCACGUACUUUUACUGAGAAAGUGACAUUGAUCUCUGUAGAUUUUGAAUUAAAUGAUAUGAUGAAGUAUAUAAACCAAUUACUUUUGGUCAAGGUGGUAAAAAAAGUUUAGUAUUUGAUAGAUUCUUCAUCUCCACGAUCACAAAUAUUUUCUCCUAGGAUUUCUUCUAGAAAUAUUACUGCUUUAGGUUGUAUAUCAGGUCUAGGUUCUACUUUUUUUUUUUUUUUUCUCCAGGCAGUUUCUCACUCCGUUGCCCAGGCUGGAAUGCAGUGGUGUAAUCACAGCUCACUGCAGCCUCAACCUACUGGACUCAAAGGAUAAGAUCUGCUUUUAAUUAAUUUUUGUAUACGGUAUGGGAUAGGGACCAAAGUUCAUUUUUUUGCAUGUAUACAUAUCCAAAUGUUCCAGCAUCAUUUAUUAAAAAGUUAUUUUUGUCUCUACUGCAUUUCCUUUGUGCUUACAUCAAAAUCUGUGUUGCAUAUGUAUGUGUUUCAUUUUAGGCUUCCUAUUGUGUUCCAUUGAGCUAUUUGUCUUUUUGCUGCCAGCACCAUGCUGUUUUGAUUAUUGUAGCUAUAUAAAUAAGUGAUGAAAUCAGAUAGUUUAUGUCCUACAACUUUAUUUUUCAAGGUUAUUUUGUAUCUUCUAGAUUCUUCAGAUUUCCUUUUAAAUCUUAGAGUCGACUUCUCAUUUUGCACAAAAAAAUACUGCUGGGAUUUUGAUUGAGAUUGUGUUGACUCUACAGAUGAAUUUGGGGAGAAUUGACAUUUUAACCAUAUUGAAUCUUCUGACCCAUUAACAUUUAGGUCUUUUAAAAUUUCUCUGGCCAGACGCAGUGGCUCACGCCUGCCACUUUGGGAGGCCAAGGCGGGCCGAUCACAAGGUCAGGAGAUUGA
RNAcentral lists this long non-coding RNA (2118 nucleotides) under Homo sapiens (human). RNAcentral describes it as "non-protein coding lnc-ANGPT2-2:8". Lineage: Eukaryota; Metazoa; Chordata; Mammalia; Primates; Hominidae. The record is from RNAcentral.